RNAcentral lists this ribosomal RNA (492 nucleotides) under uncultured bacterium. RNAcentral's name for it is "partial 16S ribosomal RNA". It matches the Rfam family "Bacterial small subunit ribosomal RNA", at positions 29 to 507 of the family's 1533-position model. The record is from RNAcentral.
AGUGAACGCUGGCGGUAGGCCUAACACAUGCCAGUCGAACGGCAGCACAGUAAGAGCUUGCUCUUACGGGUGGCGAGUGGCGGGCGGGUGAGGAAUACAUCGGAAUCUACUUUUUCGUGGGGGAUAACGUAGGGAAACUUACGCUAAUACCGCAUACGACCUACGGGUGAAAGCAGGGGAUCUUCGGACCUUGCGCGAUUGAAUGAGCCGAUGUCGGAUUAGCUAGUUGGCGGGGUAAAGGCCCACCAAGGCGACGAUCCGUAGCUGGUCUGAGAGGAUGAUCAGCCACACUGGAACUGAGACACGGUCCAGACUCCUACGGGAGGCAGCAGUGGGGAAUAUUGGACAAUGGGCGAAAGCCUGAUCCAGCCAUACCGCGUGGGUGAAGAAGGCCUUCGGGUUGUAAAGCCCUUUUGUUGGGAAAGAAAAGCUGCAGGUGAAUACCCCGCUGUUCUGACGGUACCCAAAGAGUAAGCAACGGCUAACUUCGUG